This 582-nucleotide ribosomal RNA is filed under the name Triticum aestivum (bread wheat). RNAcentral describes it as "partial small subunit ribosomal RNA". Lineage: Eukaryota; Viridiplantae; Streptophyta; Magnoliopsida; Poales; Poaceae. The record is from RNAcentral.
AUGAAAUUAUCACAUCAACACCCUAAGCUAGCAGUCCAUCAAACAGGCGAUGAAGAAUUAACUUCUACAUGCAUUCGACAUCAACAACCUACACGUAAAGAAAAAGAGGAAGAAAAGGAAGAUUACAACGAUGGACUUAGACCGUCGUUGGCGAAGAGCAAGCACGUGCAUGGUGAUCACGAUCGGCCGGCGACGAGGAACCGGAACGUGCCCGGACUCAACAUGUGGUACCCGUGGCGCUGUUGUUGUUGGUGGUGGCCCCUGCCGGCGAAGCGAGCGCAGCUGGGCGACGACGCGACGCCGCCCCCCUGCUCCAUCUCCCACAUCACCUCCAUGAAAUCAUCGACGGCGCAGGGCAGCUCGAGCGGGCCGGCGCAGCCGGCGAAGCCGUACUCCGUCUCGGCCUCGUCCAGCAGCGCCCGGAACAGGGGGUGGUUCGCGCACCUGGCGCGCACCGCGAACCGCUCCUUCUCCGGCCCCACGAGCACGGCGAAGUACCCCGCCGGCACGGCCCACGCCGCCGCCCUGCCAUCGGCCGCGCGUGGCGACGCCGGGGCACUGGCGCUGCCGCCACCGCCGUAG